CAGUAGCCCGGGAAUACGUAGGGUGCGAGCGUUAAUCGGAAUUACUGGGCGUAAAGGGAGCGCAGGCGGUUUAGUAAGUCUGAAGUUAAAGGCAUUGGCUCAACCAAUGUAUGCUUUGGAAACUGUUAGACUUGAGUGCAGAAGGGGAGGGUGGAAUUCCAUGUGUAGCGGUGAAAUGCGUAGAUAUAUGGAGGAACACCGGUGGCGAAAGCGGCUCUCUGGUCUGUCACUGACGCUGAGGCUCGAAAGCGUGGGUAGCGAACAGGAUUAGAUACCCCAGUAGUCCCUGUCUCUUAUACAC
Molecule: ribosomal RNA, 301 nt
Filed under: uncultured bacterium
Lineage: Bacteria
Description: partial 16S ribosomal RNA
Rfam family: Bacterial small subunit ribosomal RNA
Source: RNAcentral